AGAACGAACGCUGGCGGCAUGCCUAACACAUGCAAGUCGAACGCUCUUGAGGCUUCGGUUUCAAGGGAGUGGCGCACGGGUGAGUAGCGCGUGGGAACCUGCCCUGUUGUGGGGGAUAACCGAGGGAAACUUCGGCUAAUACCGCAUGCGCCCGGGGCCUAGUUUUCGGAUUAGGUUUCGGGGAAAGAUUUAUCGCAGCAGGAGGGGCCCGCGUCGGAUUAGGUAGUUGGUAGGGUAACGGCCUACCAAGCCUUUGAUCCGUAGCUGGUCUGAGAGGAUGAUCAGCCACACUGGGACUGAGACACGGCCCAGACUCCUACGGGAGGCAGCAGUGGGGAAUAUUGGACAAUGGGCGAAAGCCUGAUGCAGCGACGCCGCGUGGGGGAUGAAGCUUUUCGGAGUGUAAACCCCUUUCGAUCCGGACGAAUGCCUCGCAAGAGGAGUGACGGUACGGAUAUAAGAAGCCCGGCUAACUACGCGCCAGCAGCCGC
RNAcentral lists this ribosomal RNA (491 nucleotides) under uncultured bacterium. RNAcentral describes it as "SSU rRNA". It matches the Rfam family "Bacterial small subunit ribosomal RNA", at positions 26 to 518 of the family's 1533-position model. The record is from RNAcentral.